GACGAACGCUGGCGGCGUGCUUAACACAUGCAAGUCGAACGGAAAGGCCCUGCUUUUGUGGGGUGCUCGAGUGGCGAACGGGUGAGUAACACGUGAGUAACCUGCCCUUGACUUUGGGAUAACUUCAGGAAACUGGGGCUAAUACCGGAUAGGAGCUCCUGCUGCAUGGUGGGGGUUGGAAAGUUUCGGCGGUUGGGUAUGGACUCGCGGCUUAUCAGCUUGUUGGUGGGUUAGUGGCUUACCAAGGCUUUGACGGGUCGCCGGCCUGAGAGGGUGACCGGCCACAUUGGGACUGAGAUACGGCCCAGACUCCUACGGGAGGCAGCAGUGGGGAAUAUUGCACAAUGGGCGGAAGCCUGAUGCAGAAACGCCGCGUGCGGGAUGACGGCCUUCGGGUUGUAAACCGCUUUCGCCUGUGACGAAGCGUGAGUGACGGUAAUGGGUAAAGAAGCACCGGCUAACUACGUG
This 468-nucleotide ribosomal RNA is filed under the name uncultured bacterium. RNAcentral's name for it is "partial 16S ribosomal RNA". It matches the Rfam family "Bacterial small subunit ribosomal RNA", at positions 28 to 507 of the family's 1533-position model. The record is from RNAcentral.